AGAUCGGCAAUGGAAGAAAGAAAAAGUAAAGAGAGAAAAAAGCAAAGGCAUUCAUUGUGAUAAAAAUGUUAAUGCUUGUUUUCAACCUUUUUCCCUCUACUCAACAGAAAAGAAGAAAAAGGAAACGGUCUAUUUUUUGUGAAAGCAAUGGAAGAUCAAACGGUGCCAAUAAAUAUUUGGAAUCUUGCUUUCAACCUUUUUAACGUUAGCAUUCAGGAACCCCCCUUCCCCCAACCCUUACCAGUUACCAACCCUAACUCACUACAACUCUCCAACGGCGCAGCAGCACACCCUCCCUCGUCCCUCCCAUCACCCUCGAGCUAGCCAUUCCUCUCAACGCCGGCGAGCUCAGUCCCUCCCUUUCGUUCAGCCGCCGGACUACUCCUGACGCCGUCGCCGGCUGGAGCUUCGAAGCUCACUCGGUCCCUCACUCAGCCAACGUCUCAGACUCUCAGCAGUGGAAGCAUAGUCGCCGGACUCGCCUCCUGCCUCCGUCGCGAAGCUUUGUUCUACCUUCGCCGGCGCCGUCUCUGUUCCUGCCUCCGUCGCCAGCUCUCCGUUUCCAGCGCCGUCAUCCUUCUUUGCAUUUGAAACGGAGUGAUUUGAGGAUGUGGUAGGCAGCACUUGGCUGCAUAUGUCAACCUUGCAACCUUUUAUCUCAUUGAUUACCAAUAUCAUGUCUCUUUGGAUUUAAGACCAAUACGCAAUUCAAGAGUCAUACAGUGGCAGAGACCUAAUUUUUUUGCAUUCUUCCCAUCAAGUGACAACACUGCUGACUUCAUGGGCAAGAUGCUCAGAACUGGACUCAACAUCGUUGGUUUCAAUUGGCUCUCUUCUACGGCGGCAACCGAGCUUGUGAGCACCAGGGCUUGGCUAAGAACUCAGGCUACCAAAAAAAUUUCUCUUCCUGGGUCACGUGGUAGCAUGACGUUAGGCACAACAUGCGAGGAAAUAUUGGCAACACUCGUGGCUGCUAGAGACAGAAUGCUAAAUCAGAUAUGAAGAGACAAGAUUGGAAAGCUCUGUACGGUUCAAAAAGUCGCUUAUAUUGCAGGGUUUGAUUCAAACAACUUCAGAGCCACUAAGAUCUCGAGAUCGAGUUCGUUCUCGUUGUUACCAUAAUCUGUAACACCCUACCACACAAAACUUUACGUCUAAGACGUAAAUCAGAGGUGGUGAGACGCUACGACCUCUAAAAGUAAGUGUGUGUGUGUGUGCAUAUACAUAUACACACAUAUAUAUAGUUGAAAGAAAUUGUAACUACGAACCUUGAAAAAAAUAAGUUGAACAAAACACCAACACAAAGGCGCAUCACUCACGAAAGAUAAGCAUAGAUGGAUAAGCAAGAUUGAAAGAAAAGUUAUAAACAUAUAUAUAUGGAUUAGAAUUCCAAAAUACAGAUAAUAAGCUUCGAACUUGACCUGCAAAGCUAAAACCGACUAGAGAAUAUUUGCAUACAUAUAUACAUCCCAAAACAUCCCAAAAUAUAUCCCAAAAUAGAAAACUAACAACCUGUUUCUCCAAGUCACCUCUAAGAGAGAUAAAACAUAAAAUAUA
Long non-coding RNA from Arachis duranensis, 1557 nucleotides. RefSeq lists it as uncharacterized. The transcript is spliced from 3 exons. NCBI's taxonomy places the organism in Eukaryota, Viridiplantae, Streptophyta, Magnoliopsida, Fabales, Fabaceae. The record is from RefSeq and is a predicted model, not a curated record.